RNAcentral lists this unclassified non-coding RNA (431 nucleotides) under plant metagenome. Its description in RNAcentral is "partial contains 5.8S ribosomal RNA, internal transcribed spacer 2, and large subunit ribosomal RNA". The stretch from base 1 to 102 matches the Rfam family "5.8S ribosomal RNA", at positions 50 to 154 of the family's 154-position model. The record is from RNAcentral.
AAACUGCGAUAAGUAGUGUGAAUUGCAUUUAGUGAAUCAUCGAAUCUUUGAACGCACCUUGCACUCACUGGUAUUCCGGUGAGUACGCCUGUUUCAGUAUCAUUGAAAACACACAAUCAAAACAUUGUCUUUGGUUUGAUUGGCUUUGGGUCUAUCAAAAAGUUUGGCUUGUUUCUUACAAGCCAAGCGGCCUGAAAUAUAUUGUCUGGCUAAUUGCAUCGUUGAUGAUCGCUAUUAGACUUUGGCUUUUUUAAAUGAACUGGAGGUUGAUUAACCAGUUUUAGCUUUAGUCAAAUGGUCAUUGUAAAAAAAAUCUCGAUCUUGGCUAGGUGUUUAUAGCCGAAAAUUUUUUUUUGGCUAUAACCGAAACCAAUAUAAUCACAUUUAGUUAUCGAUCUGAAAUCAGGUGGGACUACCCGCUGAACUUAAGC